UCCCAACAGUAAGUUAAGAAUUCCAGUUUCUGUCAUCCCUCAGUCCUGAUUAAACUUAUGUGAUUUCACAUGUUUUUAAUCCAUCAUAUGUUUGGGUUUCUUCUCCCCAGUCCCUGGCUCUACCUUUUCUCCCACAUGUCACCAUGGCAGUAUCUCUUGGCCCUUUAUCUGAUCCAAGGGUAGAAUUUACACUCACGGAAAUCAACCAGGAGCUUCAGUUGUAGCUGGCAAAGAACAAGCAGAACUUCCAAGACCUCCCAGAGAAAUUCCUUGUAUCCCAAGCUACUGCCUACUCCCUGGCCAACCAGCUGCAGAAAUACAGUUAAGUCCUAGGGGUCGUGGUCACCAAAGUGAUGAAUGGUCACUGUCUUCCCUCUGAGAAACAAAAACUCUCCAGACUUUGUCUCCUAAUCCCUUUGUCAUUUUGAAUUUCAUUCUGACCACAAUCCAGGAAAGGUGGAAGUGGCUAUUUUACCCUCAGUUCCCUGAGGAUGGGAAAACCCAGGCACAAAGAGUUGAGCCACUUUUCCAGGUUUGCGGUGAGUUGUAGGGUGAGAUUAGAGUUAAAAUCCCAGAUAUUGAUUCUUGGUUCAGGCACUGAACUGCCUGUUUCUCUCAGGAACAAAGCUAAACUGUGUCAAUUGGAAUCUGUUCUGUUCUGUAUCUGAUCCUGCAUCAGAUGUUGGCUAAACGACUGGAAAUUGGAUGGAGUUCAUCAGUCCAAGUUUCCCUGAGGUCCCAUUGGCAAAGCCCUGUGCUAGCUACACUGGGCUGACGUGGUGGUUACACAUGGGAUAGCAGGGGAUAGUACCUGCUCAAAAGGAGCUUAAGGGUGAGACUGCCCCUCACUGAAACCAUGGCUACCUGUUUGAGUCGUAAUGAAUAAUGAGUCACUUCUGACAAAGCUCUGACAGUAGUCCCUGGCACAGUGUAACACAGUAAGUUCAAGUUCUACUAUGUCUAAUAACACAAACUUUCAUAGUAUUUGGGCACAUUGUUUUCCAGGUCCUUAUGGUUUCAUGUAUUCUCUUUCACACAAGUGUAUCCAGGUGAGUUUUUUACCUUUGAGAUACUUGUUCAUUACUGAAAUCCCAGCACAAGGGAACCAUCCGUCCUAUGGUCCUAGGGGGUCUUCCCAACCACACAGGAAUCACCAGGAAUGCCCCUGCUCAGCGUUUCACCUAAGAGGCUGCAAAUAUUGGUAAGUGGCCCAGGAUUCAGUGUCAGUUUGCCAAACACCAGUUCUUCUUGUCUAGUUACUUUCUGUGCCUUGGAGCUUCUGUUUCCUCAGCUCUAAAACAGGGAGUAACCGAAUGCCAUGCAGGUGGGAGGCUGAGGAAUCAGAUGUGGAAAUCCCUGCGUGGAGCCUGGCACCGAGGUUACAUCUGUCCCCGGGAUGGACCCUGCCUCCUCCCUUGAAGGCGGUGACCGCAGCAGCCUGUCCAGCUUUCCCCUGAGGCAGCGUCUCUGUUUCCCCAGAGUGUGAAGCAUUUAAGGACAUCACUGAAUCUGUGCUGGGGGAGAAGCUGCUGUUUGAGGCGCUGAGGCUAGCAGAGAAGCUGGCAGAGAAGCCCACGCAAGCUGAGAGGUGAGCAGCACCUCAAGGACUUCCUCAUCCACGACGACCUUGACAACCACCAGGGGCAGGGCUUCCAAGAGCGGCUGAUGGAGGGACACAGGCUGGCAGAGCACCUUGCCCACAAGCUCAGCCCAGGAAUUCAUGAAGAUGAGGAGGAUGAACAAGCACAAGAGACACUCACACCCAGGUACCAUACUGGGAUGGUUGAGUCUCACGCCUCAUCAGACGUUGUGUGGCCAGUGCACGGAGCACCUGCUGGCCUCCCUCUCCUGCCCCGUGGCAGCCACACUCCACUUCACAUACGGGAGGAUAGUUCCUUCCCUCUUUAGGGGACUGCCCUUUUGGUUUCUCUGACACUCCCGAUGCCUCCCAUCAAAACCAGCCAGGGCAGCUUGGGGUCGGAUCCCCUUCGUUUAAUUUUCUGUCAUCCCUCUCCCACCUGGCACAGUGUGGAGCUGCAGGAGGUUGAAAAGAAGGAAGUGCCUCAGGAAUCCCAGGAUGAAUGUGUUUUGACUCCUUCAAUUCUCCAAGGAAGUUCUGACUGCAACCAGCCUUACAGUGAUGGCAAAUUUGCAUUUGAUGAAUCAGAAGUGGGCCCUGCUCCGGAUGGAGCCUGUGGUUGCUCCCAUGCUAAAGAGGAUGAAAUUCCAACCGAUCUCCCAGGUAGCCUCCAUAUUCUUUGUUCCCCACACCUGUGUAGACUGAGGAAGGUCAUCUCUGAAGAUAGUCCCUAUAGACACAUCUUGGUUAAAUCAGGGAAAAGGAUCUAUUAUGAAACACAGACAUCAGGUGGCUCAGGGAGCCUUUAUCCCUUUCUAGGCCCCAGUCAUGCCUUUGUCACCCUGGCACCAGUGUCAGGCAUUUGGACCCAAAUCAGGUGUGACAAACUCUCAUCCACCUUGGGUGGAAAUCCACAGGAGGUGUUUGUCAGACCUAGUUUGGAUCAAAUGUGUCUUGUCACCUGCAAUGAUCUAAUUUUUGUUUUUUUGUACAAUGUCCCUGGCCUUUCUCUCCCUAUCCAGACACAGUGGCAGACUUGCAUAUACAUUAGGAGAGGUUGUUUCCCUGCUCUCAGUCCCAGUCUCCAUCUUCUCUAUGUUGGCUUCUGUUAACUAAGCAGUCAUCCGAAAACCAGGACAGACACAGCUGUACCACUGCCUUGUUUGGAUGUUUCCAUGAAGCAAGGCUGGGCUCUGGCAGUCCCUUCAGCCUUGAAUGGCCAUGGUUUCUGUGUCGCACCAAAGAUUCUUUUUGGUUUGAGGGUUUAUACAAUUCAUCCAUCACUCUAGUCUCAAGUAUAAAUUCCUCUAAACCAUCAGCAACCACAUAAUCUGAUGGGACUAACCAAUAUUGUAGAAACAAUUCUAGAAAAUAACUCAGCUCAUUUUCUAGGAUCACUGGGGAAAAUAUAUUAUGAACUAUUUAUACAGGAUCAGAACAAAGGAUAUUGGGAGAGCGCUCUACCAGAUCAAUAAGAGAAUUUCCCUGAUGGGUCUGGGGUCCAGUCUAAUUCUAAGACUUAAGUGUCCUGGAAUGUCUCUGCUAAUGUAUUAUGUUCUUGCACUGAGAAUAUUAAUGUCCUUGUGGUGUGUUCACUGAGUAGGUAUGUGUGAGGCGUGAUUUGCUUAUUGUGACCCACUGUCUCUGAAUUUCUUACUAGACAAUCAAAAUGAUCAUAAGCAAGUGGAUGGACAAGAGCCAAUGUCCAUACUUUCUUUUUGGUGGUAGAAUCUACAGCAGUGCUGUAAUGUAAUAAAAAUGCAAGCCACAUAUGUAAUUAAAAUUUUUCUAGUAGCCACAAUGAAAAGUAAAAAGUAUAAGCAGACAAUAAUACAAAUAUAAUCUUCUACAUAGCUAAUUAAUGCUACACAUUAAAGGAAAUAUAAUUCCAGCAAAGUUUUAAAGUUGUGUUUAAUAGAAAAAUAUUGUGCAUGUCUUCAGCUUUUAAGUUUACAUUCACAUGAAUUAUAAAUUAAAUAUAAUUAAAAUCCACUUCCUCAGUCCUACUAGCCACAUUCUAAGUGUUCAACAGCCAUAUGUGUCUAGUGGCCCCUAUUUUGGACCUGGCAGAUACAGAGACUGAUGAGAUUCACAUUUGCUGUCUUGGCAAGACUACCUCAGAAGUGGUGUGUGCUCUCUGAUCAGGAGGCACAUCAAGUCCUGUGUGUCUCUUCUAAUAAUACUAGCAGCCCUCGGAGUUCAAGGCCUAGAUCCAUUAACUGAUUAUGUGGAGUAAAAUGGUGAUAUUCCAUGGUCAUGUAUUAGUUAACUGGAACACUUGUAUAAAAAGAAACUUCCCUUAAAUACUAAAUACUGUUUAGUUACUUAGUGGUACCCUCUGUAAAGUAAACUGCAGCUUAAUGAGCAAUUCCCCAAGCAUCCUCUGUGGUCACCAGUUAGUUUCUUUUAUUUCUUUUUUUUUUUUUUUUCCCCUGUGCUAAUAUGAAUUCAGAGUUUCAAACACAUUGAAGUAUUUCAAUUCAUUGCAAUAUAGUCUUUACUGAUACUCCAAUUAUCCUCUCCUUCAGCAGUGAAAGUGACUUUAAGCUGGCUCCUUCAUCCUUUUGAUAAGAUUCUAAUAGUCUUUGAGACCUUUCUUGAUAUCAAUAUGACAAGGUGGUUCUGUCUCAUCCUGAAUAUUUUCUGCCCCUGACCUGGACUCAGUCAUUUCUCUAAGAAUCUCUGGUUUCUUUUUAUGCAAAACGUUAUUCCCAAAUCAAAUUGUGUAACCUAAAGAUACUCAUUGGAAUUGGUUUCUUUCUAGGCCUUUCCAGUGGACAGAGCUAGGAAAUACAUACUCAUAUUUGUAUGUAUGUAUUCACAUAUAUUCACAUUCAUAAUUCAAAUUCAGAACUACAGGCUUUUUAUUGAACGUCUUUCAUCUGAAACUCUUUUCUCUAAUACCAGUUAUUUUUGUCUUUAAGGACACUGGGAGUAAUAGAAAUACAAUAUCUUUUACAGUCUCCUUUGCUUCUUCCCGCAUUAUAUAGACAAAAGAAUAAAGAAAUACCAACAAUGCCAAUAAUAACACAAUUGAGGAAAGCAGUUUUUAAAAUUUUGUCACGGUCCUGGGGUAUAUAUAUUGUGUUUUAUGGUCUCUUCGGAGAGUUCUUAUCCAAUAUGGUUGUUCCACAAAAGACAUACACAGGUUCAUUUGUUACGUUGUGUUUUUCAAUGUCUAGAGGUGACAUUUAUAAAUUUACUUAUUUAUUA
This is an RNA transcript of Balaenoptera musculus (blue whale), 4792 nucleotides long. It is a transcript of the gene named NBPF member 7, with no coding region annotated. The record is from RefSeq and is a predicted model, not a curated record. The transcript is spliced from 4 exons. NCBI's taxonomy places the organism in Eukaryota, Metazoa, Chordata, Mammalia, Artiodactyla, Balaenopteridae.